GUUCAAAAUCACCUCUCAGAACACUUUUACACAGCACAAUCACAAAUCUUCUAAUCAAAAAACCUUUCGCUCAACACAAACAACGAUUUUCACAAUGCAAGGAGAUCCUAAAUUCACAAACGAAACAACCGAGAGCAUCGACCAAAACCGACUAAUCAAAGAAAUUCAAAAUACUAGAAGAUUCUUAUACGUACAUACCGUAAUUACCUACAAAUUUCCUAUUGGCAAACGAUUUUGUCCUAUGAAAAGGCGCUAAUUUCAACAUUUUAUGAGGAAAUGACGGUGCAUUCUACCUGCUUAGAUUUUUGGAAUUUAAUGUACUUGUAAAGAUGCCUAAGGUACAAAAUUAGUAUAAAUCUUACAAAAUCAAACAGAAAAAGAAUACGUAUUUGUAUUAGUAAAUAAACUGAGUGAUCAUUCAAAUAUGGCGCAACGAAUACGUCACGUCCGUCUCAGACGAAUCGCUCGCGCAACGUUCGUGCGUUGGGGAUCAUGCAAAAUAUUUUUGAAUAGCGAUUUGUUUGACGCAACUAAUUUGUUUAAUUUUAUUAGAAGAAGUAAAGACAAGUACAAAACAACAAUACAUUGAUAUUUUAUUUAAUUGAAUCUUUGCAUUACUAUUAUUGUUUAUUUUGUCUUGUAACUAAAGUUAAGUUUGAAAAAUUUUCAGAAUCCGAAAUUAUUUCGUGAAACGGAAAAUCAUAGAGGAGUGACAUUUCGAUGUUUUGCAGUUUUCGGCAAAAUAUUGACAACAUGUCCGUGUUUAUUUUGAUUAUUCAUAAUAUGUACUAUGAAUAGUGUGUAUUUUAACCACGUUUUAGUGGAUCGAGUGUAUCGCUGCCUUUGGAAUAAACAAACAUUAAGUUAGUAACAUGGAGAGAAAAUCGGAUUCGAAAAAGCAGGGUCAAUACUGAGGCGUGGAAUGAGGAAGAAUCGCAGUAACUCAAGCUGAGCGGUCGCUAGGGUCGCUAGGCGCAGGCGCUAAACCGAGCUGAGUACGACGCGUGGGUGGCGCCUACCGGCUGCAACUCAACUAAACAGAACCCGUCGCAUGGGUCAAUACUGAGGCGUGGAAUGAGGAAGAAUCGCAGUAACUCAAGCUGAGCGGUCGCUAGGGUCGCUAGGGUCAAUACUGAGGCGUGGAAUGAGGAAGAAUCGCAGUAACUCAGCCGAGCGGUCGCUAGGGUCGCUAGAUGCAGUAGAACGAAGAAGAAGCUGGCAACUUGAAUGCAAGUGUGCAUUAGAUGGCGCCACCAUAGCUUUGCCCGGACAAGAGUUUUGCUCUAUGAGAUUUGACUUCUAAUAUUAAAAUACUUGGACCGAUUCAGGGAGAAGAACGCGCUUUAUCAGCACACUCACGCUCCUUUGAAAGCAAAAGCAUAAUAUUAUUGUUAAUGUAUUUUUUUCUAGUAUGUAACUUGUAACGUAAUGUAACGUGUGUUGUCAUGUAACUACUGAAUUUUUGAUUGACAAAUAAGUUAUCAGUUAGUUAGUUGUAUUAGGUAAUUAAUUUAAUUGAAAUUGUGCACACAUGCUCCCGCAAUUUGGCAAUAUCAACAACGUUUAUUAAAGUUUUUCGAAUGCAUAUCGCAAAUGUCAGAAUAUUCUGUUCAUAAAAGUUAUGGAUUGUCAUGCCUUUUUCCAAUGACCCUUAUUUAGGGUAAAGUAACACCAAACAAAGUAUUUGUGAGACAGUUUAACCUUUUGGCCGCCAGAGACUUAAACGGAAAAUCGUGACCACGACGCCACUUUUAUGUUAGCAUAAUUUCUUUACCCAUCCUUAAUUUACCCCCGUGGCGUCAGUGGCACGGUUUUCCGUUGACGUCAUUUGCUGUAUUUGGCGUUCAAAAGGUUAAAAACAUAAAAUUUACCAUAAAUUAAGACCCAUAAAAUUGUAAACAUCUGCGGCGAUUUAUGAUGAUUGUGUUAACUAAACGUAACAUAAGCAUUUGUAAAUGUAAUCAAUUUUAGCAUAUUACUUACCAAAACUCACCUGUGCUAUUCCAUUUCCCUGUUAUCCCCAAUCGUGCUGGUAGCAGCGAAGUGCAAUGCUUUCUACCUUUCCCCAAAAUCUCAGUCCUGCGAGUGCGAGGUGCAAAAUGUAAGUAUUUAUCAAAAAGGGACGGCUGUUUCGCAGGCUAGAUAAUGUUUCCUCCUCUCUUGUACUAGGCCGACUAGUACUCCGAUGCACCUAUCUCCUCCUUCCUUAUAUCCGUAGCUAGUUAUCAGAAAAAUAAAAAAUAAAUCAUCCGUUUGUUUUUCUUAUGCAACAGGCGUUUAAAGGAGGUCAAAAAAGACAAGUGGCGUGGGUAACAAUUUGAGGCGAAGUAUUUUUUGACUCAGUUAAACACC
This 2352-nucleotide long non-coding RNA is filed under the name Leguminivora glycinivorella. RNAcentral's name for it is "uncharacterized LOC125231856". The record is from RNAcentral. Lineage: Eukaryota; Metazoa; Arthropoda; Insecta; Lepidoptera; Tortricidae.